CGGUACGUACUGGCAUUGUUGGUUUCUCCCUUCUGACGAACCAUGAAGUCAUUUAUUUGGUGUUGUGGGGAAUCAGGACUGUUACUUUGAAAAAAUUAGAGUGUUUAAAGCAGGCUCACGCUUGAAUACAUUAGCAUGGAAUAAUGAAAUAGGACGUUUGAUUCUAUUUUGUUGGUUUCUAGGAUCGACGUAAUGAUUAAUAGGGAUAGUUGGGGGCAUUAGUAUUCAAUUGUCAGAGGUGAAAUUCUUGGAUUUAUUGAAGACUAACUACUGCGAAAGCAUUUGCCAAGGAUGUUUUCAUUAAUCAAGAACGAAAGUUAGGGGAUCGAAGACGAUCAGAUACCGUCGUAGUCUUAACCAUAAACUAUGCCGACUAGGGAUCGGAUGAUGUUAAUUUUUUAAUGACUCAUUCGGCGCCUUACG
This 423-nucleotide ribosomal RNA is filed under the name uncultured Glomeromycotina. RNAcentral describes it as "SSU rRNA". It matches the Rfam family "Eukaryotic small subunit ribosomal RNA", at positions 671 to 1092 of the family's 1831-position model. The record is from RNAcentral. Lineage: Eukaryota; Fungi; Glomeromycota.